Molecule: ribosomal RNA, 951 nt
Filed under: uncultured bacterium
Lineage: Bacteria
Description: bacterial SSU rRNA
Rfam family: Bacterial small subunit ribosomal RNA
Source: RNAcentral
AGAGUUUGAUCCUGGCUCAGGAUGAACGCUGGCGGCGUGCCUAAUACAUGCAAGUCGAACGCUUUGUGGUCCAACUGAUUCGAAGAGCUUGCUCAGAUAUGACGAUGGACAUUGCAAAGAGUGGCGAACGGGUGAGUAACACGUGGGAAACCUACCUCUUAGCAGGGGAUAACACUUGGAAACAAGUGCUAAUACCGUAUAACACUAAUAACCGCAUGGUUAUUAGUUAAAAGAUGGUCUUGCUAUCACUAAGAGAUGGUCCCGCGGUGUAUUAGCUAGUUGGUAAGGUAAUGGCUUACCAAGGCAAUGAUACAUAGCCGAGUUGAGAGACUGAUCGGCCACAAUGGGACUGAGACACGGCCCAUACUCCUACGGGAGGCAGCAGUAGGGAAUCUUCCACAAUGGACGAAAGUCUGAUGGAGCAACGCCGCGUGUGUGAUGAAGGGUUUCGGCUCGUAAAACACUGUUGUAAGAGAAGAAUGACAUUGAGAGUAACUGUUCAGUGUGUGACGGUAUCUUACCAGAAAGGAACGGCUAAAUACGUGCCAGCAGCCGCGGUAAUACGUAUGUUCCAAGCGUUAUCCGGAUUUAUUGGGCGUAAAGCGAGCGCAGACGGUUAUUUAAGUCCGAAGUGAAAGCCCACAGCUUAACUGUGGAAGUGCUUUGGAAACUGGAUAACUUGAGUGCAGUAGAGGAGAGUGGAACUCCAUGUGUAGCGGUGAAAUGCGUAGAUAUAUGGAAGAACACCAGUGGCGAACGCGGCUCUCUGGACUGUAACUGACGUUGAGGCUCGAAAGUGUGGGUAGCAAAACAGGAUUAGAUACUCCUGGUAGUUCCACACCGUAAACGAUGAGUGCUAGAAUGUGUUUUGAGGGAUUUCCGUCCGUAAGUGUCGCAGCUUAACGCAAUAGCACUCGACUGUGGAGUACGACGGCAGGUGAACCUCAAAGG